Long non-coding RNA from Strigops habroptila (Kakapo), 6035 nucleotides. RefSeq lists it as uncharacterized. NCBI's taxonomy places the organism in Eukaryota, Metazoa, Chordata, Aves, Psittaciformes, Psittacidae. The record is from RefSeq and is a predicted model, not a curated record. The transcript is spliced from 4 exons.
UCUUCCUUCCCCCUCAGCCGCGGGGGGUGGCCCAGGAGCGGGGGAAGACGGUUCCCGCCCUCUCGCGGUGCUGACAGGGGUGCGGGCGGUAGCGCUGAGGUGGCCCUGACCGUGUUAUGGGACCGCUGAGAUUAUUUAUUUGUUCUUAUCCCACUCAUGUUCUUUUGUUAGAAGGUACAGCUUUAUAACGUUUACAACGGUAGGAGGGCUGUGGAAAGGCCAUGCAUAUCAUAGAGUUACAGAGUGGGUUGAAAGGGACCUUACAGCUCAUCCAGUUCCAACCCCCUGCCACGGGCAGGGACACCUUCCACUAGAGCAGGUUGCUUAAGCAUGUGUGAAUACAUGUAUUACACUGCACUUAUCUCGAGGUAGAAUGGUCUGACCUGAGUCAGAUUUUCUCACAGAAAUGAGUCUUUUUUAGAAAGACUGCAGGGUGGGUUGUUUUGGUUUUUAAUGUAUUUUUCCCCGUAGCAAGCCUACCCCAUUUUUUUAAAUCACCAUGGUUCUGAUGAUGAGUUUCAUGCGUUUCGCCUGGUUUGAGCCUUUUUUUUCUGGUGAAUCCGAAUUUACCACCCUGCUGCUGUGAUAAACAGAUGCUUGUACAUCUUUGCACUUCUUGAUAAUCAACGCUAUUGGAACUCUUUCCUCUUUUGUUUUAGUUCUUGUAAUCUUUCAUUGUAUAAGUAUUACUGUUUCAUUUUUCUUUGUUUUUAGAAUAUGUGUUUCUGAAUCGAAGCUGUGUAAUGGUUCAUUACAAUAAGAAUUUGAACAUCUUUAAGAGAAAGAGAUGCCGUGCAGGAGAGGAAGGCAGUCUACUCUGGAGUUGCUACUGAUAGCCAGGGAUAAGCAACACAGUAUGGGCUACCUAAAGGAUGUAAUGCAGUAAUCAAAAAGAGCAAAGUCAUUUUCAGGUUGUAGUCGCCAUGAAACUUGAGGUUUUAGGCAGAAGUCAUGUUCUGUUCAUCAUAAAGCAGUGAAGUUUCUACCUUCUAAAAACAGUGCUUUCAUUUCCCUCUUCUUGCUAUUGCACACAGAAGAGCUUAGCCCUUUAGCAAGGAUUUCACAGCAAAAUAACUUCGAUCUGGUUGCUGUCUGUCACAGCUGAACAGAAACUCUCCAACAGCUCUUUAAUGGAAAACAUUUAAGAUUAAAAUAGCUAUUAAUUUUUAAUUGGGUUUUGUGUUUUCAGUUGCAUUUAUGACCCAAAAAAGGGUGAUGCCAGUGCCUCUCUCUCGUGUAGAACAGCACAUAUGGUAAACUCUGGUUUGGCAUUUAUGUAAAUGAAGUGGUAAGUAAAAUGUUUGGAAGUGGAUAGCAUUUAUUAAUACAUAAUCCCAAAGUUCCUGCCAGAAGGUCUGGUAAGACGUUAAUAUUAAUGCUCGAAUUGAGCUCUUUAUCUUUUCUAAUAUAGAAUAUUUUAUUAACAAGCUAAUUAGCAGAAACUUAAGAAAGGUUCACCCAGUUAUAUUAACAAGAACAGCUGCUGUGAUAUGACAUUGAAAGUGAGCUAUCUCUUAAAAAUAUUCAUUUGGGCCAAGGAGUGAACCAAGAAAUAAUAAAGGAGUGCCACUUACCUAAACAUGGUUCCCAGUAUUAACUUCUUACAGGCUGAAAGCUUCAUGCCCAGGUAUGUUAUAUUGUCAUAGGCCUGGACAAAAGUACUAAUGCAGUAGUAUCUAAGACACCAGACCUUCAAUUUCUGGGAAGGGAUGCAGUUUUGUGGUUGAGGAAAACAGUGGAAAGUUUGAAAUAAAAAUAAGUUCAUGUUGUUGGCAUUGGCUUACCAUGAGACUUACCAGCCGAAGCUUUGAGGUCACCUGUGGAGGCCUGCCUCUUUACCUUCUUGACUGUGGUGAUUUCUGUUGAGGUGUAAUACUGUGGAGCUUUGGGUCCCACAGUCCAUCUAACCCCUUAAACUUGCUUGUAGAUCCCCCUCGUCCUUCUCCUCAACACCCAGCACUGCCUGACCCUGCUCUUGUACUUCUAGUUUCUCCUUCCCAUCACCAUGACUUAGUGAUUCUUUUCCAUCUCAAACCCAAGUUGCUCCAGCCUCACCACGAUGUAGUAAUUUAAUGACUUCUUGGAACACCGAGCUUAAACUAAACCCAUCAAACUAACAUUUUACAUCCAUGUCUUGUGUUACAGAACCUCCGUGUAUGUCUUUUCAUUCUACUUUUGUAACAUUGAGACAGAAUUAAUCCAGAUGGAGAGUAAAGCUCCAUUAUUUUUAGACACAAUUCAAGGUUUUACAAACCCAAUACCAUCCUUUCUCAGAUUAUAUUAAUUGCUUAAAUGGUCUGUAGGAGAACAUCCAGUUCUAUUGGAGGAACAUGUGCGUGAUGUUUACCUCUAGAAUUAACAUACAUGGACAUGCGUAGGAGGCCUCUGCUUAAACUGUGAGAAAGAAAUAAACCCUUUUGGUCAUCUCUGCUCCAUGCCCCAAAAGAAAGCUACAGUGUAGGCUGUGUAUAAAAAUGUGUUGGGAGACUGAAAAAAAUACAGGUUUCAGUUAAAAAUGUGGUAUCUAUGCUAGUUAAAUAUUUAUCAAAAGUAAAUUUCACUUGAUCCAUUAAGUAUAUUGUUAGCAAAUACAAAGAGGAGGUAUACAUAGGUAUACUUGUCAUACUGAAGUGUUUAUUUACAAUAUGAAAUAAAUGUGUAUAGCACAGCUCUAGCACUAAAUUCUCACUAAGAAUACUGGGGUUUUUUAGCACAGCACAAUUUAAAACAGGAAAGAUGAUAAAAGUAGAAAAGUAGUGGUGCUGUUUUCUCUAAAUAGAAAAGAAAGAGAAGAAAGGAAAAGAAAGAAAUACUUCCAGGUAUCAGGAUAAAUAUGUAAAUUUUGCUGAGUGAGACUUUGGAUGCCAGGACACACCUGAAGAUUCUAGAAAAAGAAAUAUCAGUGGCUUUUAUUAAACUGAAGUAUAACCUGGCGGACUAAAACCAGAAAUGAAUUUCCUUCAUUUGAGGCAGAUAAGCAUACUCUUAAAAAUUUUAUUUGUACUAAAUUUUCUUUAGCAGAAAAAAGAUGGGGGUGGGUUGGUUGUUUCUCAGUUGCAGACUUGGAGAUAGGAAAGAAACUGUAAAUGUAGGGAAGAGCAAGCAAAUAAUACAUUUUUUGGGGGAAGAGGCCAGGCUGCUGCUUAUUUUGGAUAUUUCUCACCUCUAAAAGGAACUUGGCUAUCUUAAUGUAAUUUUAAUGUAAGUAUUCCUUUUCUUAACAAGAACCAUUUUCUUGAGAAAACAUAUAAUGAAAAAGUUGAACCGAAGAUCCAAAGUUAGUAUGAGAUUAUGUAGUAGUAUGAUAUAUGCAGAAGUACAUCUGUUCAUGUAAAAAAAAACCAAACCAAACUUCUUUUGUCUCCUACAUAUAUUUUGAGUGGGGCUGGAUUGUUGGGACUUUUUUGGGGUUUUUUUAAUUAACAUCCUUGCAAGAAGACAGGUUCUCUGUGUUCAGAUGCACUUAAUGAGACCCAGACUGUGUUAGAAACCUUUGUUGGUAUUAUUUCUCUUAUCAGUUGCAACUCCAACACAGAUGAGCCUAUUGAAGUCUUUCUCAUGGUACAUAUUUCUUACUCAAGCAAUUACUAUAAACGACCGAUGUGGCAUAUGACAUUUGGGUUUGUUUAUUUAACUUUCCUCAUAAUUUUCUCCCCCCAGUUCUGUCUUUUUCCAUGUCCCUAUGAAGAACUUCAUGCAUUAAAGGGAUUUGCAAGAACAACCACAUUAACUGUACUCCUGUGACCUGCAGGUGGCUCAUUACAGAAUGAGGCCGAGAUUAGUACGAUCUCAUCUUUGCUAAAUUGUCAUUGUGCUUAAUAGAUAAUUACCAGUGCUUCUGAUGGUCAAGAUGUUCUUUCGCUGCAAAUUGAAGGAGGGGAAUUUUUCUUAACCAGAGGUGGAACAAUUACAGAAAUAAGAAAAAGUUCGUUCUGGGUUAUCAUUUGUGAGAGGAGCUCUACAAAUUUUGCACUUGGCUAAUUGAAGUCUUAGAGGUUUUUGACUCCAGUUUCCAGAGUGUAUUGGCUACAGAAGGAGAAGACCCAGCCUCUUGCUGAAACCAGGAAGAGUGGCUCACCUGGAAAACCAUGGGAGAUGGAGGGCAGGUGUGUGCAGAAGCUCUGACGAGAGCUGCAGCUUGCAGUUGUGUUACCAUUUGGCAGGGAUGAGCUGUUCUCUCUCCGCAGGUGGAUUCUUCAGUUUUGUGGUGGUUGACAUUUUGUGAUACAAAAUCUGAGCUGUGUUUUAAGUUAUGCCUCCACACUUCGUACUUACAAAAACAUGCCAAAAAUGUGAACAGCUAUUUAUAAUAGUAAGCUUAAAAGUAUGAGUAACUUCAUUUCUUCUUUGGAUUGUGAAUUUAAUAACAAAUAGUAAAAGUUUAAAAUUUCACAUAAACAUUUGUAGAUUUUAAAAAGAAACAAUAGCUGAUUUUGUUGGGUUUUGUCCUGCCACAUCCAGGUGAGUUUUGCAGUAGACCAGAUGGUAGCAACCCUGGAUAAGAAGGCCAAGAUUAGGAAUAUGUCUGUGGUUGCUCAUGCUGAUUGUGGCAGAUCAACCUCGACAGACUCCUUGGUGCGUAAAGCAGGCACCAUUGCAUCAGUCAGAGCCAAAGAAACACGAUUCACAGACACAAAGAAAAAUGAGCAAGAAAGAUAUAUCACAAUCAAGUCUACGUAAGAAUUUCUUUGUUUGUUUCUUUUUAAUGUGAAGACAAAAAAAUGGUUUGCUCAAAGCCUUGCAUCUCAUCAGGUCUUUUUUAAGUUGACAUGUGAAUCCAGCUGUGCAUUACAGAACAGAAGUCUUUGGAGUGCAAUCUGGGCACUAUUGGAGUAGAGCUUUUAAGUGAUACCUAGCAACCCUUCUUACCUGCUUCUAACUACGGAGAACGAUGCUUUCAGAAAGUUUCUUAGUAGUAACCUUUCUUAUUUUUAUUUUAUUUUAUUGGGUUGCUUACAGGCUAAUACCCUGUUCCUCCAGGCCCCUGCAGUGGGCUCUGUUCUGUUGUUAUGAACUCUGAAGUCUGCAACUGCAAAGUUAAGAAGUUGUGAAGUGGUUGUGAGCGUGACUUUACAAGUGUCUGACAGUGAUAUUAUGCUGUGACUACUAUCUUGAGGUGCUGAUUUUGAGUAAGAAUAAAACCUAAUUAAACGCAAAGCAGAAUUUUAGAUGCUAAAAACUUUAGAAAUGGAAUUAUUGAAGUCCUGUGGUUAGUCCUUUAAAUACAUCAGGAAAUACUGGGACUAUAACAGAACAGGUUUGUUUGUCUGACCAGUGCAGAUUUUAAAAUCAGCAGAUUAAGAAACCUUAUUAAAUUAUUAAAAUUAAUUGUCUUCUCUUACAGGGCGAUUUCUUUGUAUUAUGAACUCUUAGACAACAACUUGGCCUUCAUCAAACAGUGUAGGAUGGUUCAUGUUAUCUCAUUAACUUAAUUGGCUCCCCUGGACAUGUUUGUUUUUCCUCUGAAGUUACAGCGGCUUUCCGUGUCACUAAUGAUGUCCUUGAUGUGGCUGACUGUGUUUCAGGGUUUGUGUACAGGCAGAGGCUGUUCUGCAGAGGCUAUUGCAGCAUGUAUCAAACCAGUACUGAUGGUGAACAAAAUGGAUCAUGGUUUCCUUGAAUUGCAGCUGGAGCCUGAGGAACUUUAGCAGAUAUUUCAGUGUGCUGUGGAAAUUGUCAGGGUCAUCAUUUCCACCUACAGAGAGGGUGAAACUAGACCAUGCAGUAUUGAAGAGUCUCGUGAACACAUCGUUGCGGGAGCAGGGCCUCUGCAUCCAGAAAUCUGCCUUAAGGAUCUGGAAGAAGAUCAUACUUCCAGAUUUAUUCCUUCACUUAUUCCAGUGAAGUGUCCAGAACAAAUGGCUGGUGAGCUCUGUGUGUGCUGAACACAAAAAGGGGACGUGUUUCUGAAGAAUCCCAGGUGGCAGGAACUCCAGCGUUUGUGGUCAAGACAUUAUCUACCUGUAAAUGAGUCAUCUGGUAGGAUACUGUGUCUCUUGUUACCCACAUGCAAUUAAAGAAAGACCUUGGCAGGA